RNAcentral lists this ribosomal RNA (116 nucleotides) under Labrus bergylta (ballan wrasse). The record is from RNAcentral. Lineage: Eukaryota; Metazoa; Chordata; Actinopteri; Labriformes; Labridae.
GCUUACGGCCAUACCACCCUGAACACGCCCGAUCUCGUCCGAUCUCGGAAGCUAAGCAGGUCGGGCCUGGUUAGCUUGGAUGGGAGACCGCCUGGGAAUACCAGGUGCUGUAAGCU